AUUGAACGCUGGCGGCAGGCCUAACACAUGCAAGUCGAGCGAGCGGCGGACGGGUGAGUAAUGUAUGGGGACUGCCCGAUAGAGGGGGAUAACUACUGGAAACGGUGGCUAAUACCGCAUACUAUCGGAUAACCCAUAUGGGAUUAGCUAGUAGGUGGGGUAAAGGCUCACCUAGGCGACGAUCUCUAGCUGGUCUGAGAGGAUGAUCAGCCCAACUGGGACUGCGCCACGGCCCAGAGUCCUACGGAGGCAGCAGUGGGGAAUAUUGCACAAGGGGCGAAAGCCUGAGGCAGCCAUGCGGCGUGUAUGAAGAAGGCCUUAGGGUUGUAAAGUACGUUCAGCGGGGAGGCGUUACUCGCAGAAGAAGCACCGGCUAACUCCGUGCCAGCAGCCGCGGUAAUAC
This 403-nucleotide ribosomal RNA is filed under the name uncultured bacterium. RNAcentral describes it as "partial 16S ribosomal RNA". It matches the Rfam family "Bacterial small subunit ribosomal RNA", at positions 30 to 526 of the family's 1533-position model. The record is from RNAcentral.